This 244-nucleotide ribosomal RNA is filed under the name uncultured bacterium. RNAcentral's name for it is "partial 16S ribosomal RNA". It matches the Rfam family "Bacterial small subunit ribosomal RNA", at positions 110 to 354 of the family's 1533-position model. The record is from RNAcentral.
UAAACGCGUGGGCAACCUGCCCCAUAGAGGGGGACAACAGCUGGAAACGGCUGCUAAUACCGCAUAACAAGGAGAGAGCGCAUGUCCUUUUCUUCAAAGAUUUAUCGCUAUGGGAUGGACCCGCGUCUGAUUAGCUAGUUGGUGAGGUAACGGCUCACCAAGGCGACGAUCAGUAGCCGGCUUGAGAGAGUGAACGGCCACAUUGGGACUGAGACACGGCCCAGACUCCUACGGGAGGCAGCAG